AUUAUUUUCAAAAUCUUAUUUUGUACAAUUAGAUACAAUUCAAAAAAGCCUAAUUACUUAAGGGGUUAUGAUUUCUGAGCCCUCUGUCUUAUCCUGGGAACAAAGGUUAGGUAAUGAUCAAGAAAAGACAAAUGAAAUAGUUUAUAAUUAAAUAGGUAAUAUUUAGGUUUCUAAUAAUAUCAACCUCACUGUAUUACUAUCUUCUUAUUUCUAGGACAUGAUUAUUCAAUGCUGCUCUGAAAUAGCAUCUCUGUUUUUGAAUGAUAAAGAGCCAACACCACUAUCUGAGGUCCCGUUUGAUAUCUCACUGCCAUCUAUAUUCAAUCUUGAGAGACUUUUUGAUCUGGCUAAUGGUUGCAUUUUAUCAGGAGGAAGCCUUUUCAACUGGAUAGUGUCAAUUAUUCCCUGAAUAUCCUAUACACGGGAUGAUGAAACUGAGAAAUAAAUCAAGAAUAUGACAACAGACUGAGGAAUUUUUCAGCAAUAUCUGUCAGCCUUUGGAAAUUUGGUGAGAAGAAGUAGUCAUGAUUCAAUGUCUUGCUUGCACAGAAGCCUCCAGUUCAAACUUGGAUCUUGCCCCAUCUGAUUUCUUAUGAUAUAUGCAAAUACUCUAGAUAUUGCUUUGAGAUUUCGCUGUUGAUCAACUGGCCUGCUGCAGCUUCAUAGGUGUUUUAGCUCCCAGUAGGGCAGCUUAACUCCUAUCUUCUCUGUGAGUUCCAGGUCUGUAUAUCUCCUCAGCUCGCUCUCAUUUGUCCAGCUUAUCUAUUUCUUUAUCAAGUUGCUUUGGCUUCCCUACUCUCUCCUGCGUUUUGAAAAGAAUUAAUUCUCAAGUAAAUUAAAACUACAUUCUGGUAAAAAUGAGCAUGCAUGUGUAUUUAGUCCUUCAUUUAUUCAAUAUGCAUUUUUGGAGCUUUGCUCUAUAUUAGACAUAGUUCCAGGCUCUAAAAACACAAAGAUCCAUGAGCUGUGGCCCAUCCCUUAAGAUGCUGAUAGUAUAUUAAAGGCAACAAAAUGUAAACUUACAAUUCACAAUACAACAAUGCAGAUAGAUGUUAACAUGAAGCCUCCACAAAAUGUUUUAGGAAGACAGGGAAAUAGCAAGGAUUCGCAGAGGAGAUGAUGCAGUAACUAUAUUGGGGUUGGGGGGGGGCGGCGGGAAGAGGGAAGGAAGACAAAAACAAGAAUCCCUAGUCCAAAAUAUUGUUAGUUGAGCCACGAGAUGAUUACUUCCAGGAAGAAAUAUUGAGAAGAUGUAUUGGGUAGAUGAAAUACCUAAUGAGACCAUAAAUGACGAGAAUUGCCUCUUAUAGCAUAUGAGAAGAUAAUUUUUAUCAGAUAAUGAAAUUGUUUUCAGUCUUCAGAAUGAAAAUGAAUCCCUUGCUAAUGCAGAUCAUGCUAAUAAAGGAAGUAAAAGAGAAUCUUAGAAUUAUACUUGGCUCAUGAUAGGCAGAAACCAACCUAAAUAGCCUAGGAAAAAAGAGAAAGAUAAUAAAGUAAUCAAAAUAAUUGCUUACUAGGGAAUGUGAAAGAUCUGCAAUGUUAAAUUAUAAAUGUAUGUUUGCAUGAAAAAUGAGGUGACCUUAAGGAAAAGAUUAGAAACCCACACUCAUGCGAGUUAGAAGCAAUGCUUUUCAUUAGCGAAGCUGAGGAUUAAUUAAAUCCAGGGAAAUUCUUUGAAAUCCACAAGUGUGAGUUACAUUUGAAUACAAUACAACGGGUGUAUUGGUAUUGUAAUUAAUGAUUAGCAUAGACUUCUUGAUUAAAUGUAUGUGGAAUAGUUCAAAUGGCAAAUGUGAAAUAAAGAGGAGAAAAACGUU
RNAcentral lists this long non-coding RNA (1817 nucleotides) under Pan troglodytes (chimpanzee). Its description in RNAcentral is "lncRNA (ENSPTRG00000054040.1)". The record is from RNAcentral. Lineage: Eukaryota; Metazoa; Chordata; Mammalia; Primates; Hominidae.